This 254-nucleotide ribosomal RNA is filed under the name uncultured bacterium. RNAcentral describes it as "partial 16S ribosomal RNA". It matches the Rfam family "Bacterial small subunit ribosomal RNA", at positions 524 to 776 of the family's 1533-position model. The record is from RNAcentral.
UACGUAGGGUCCGAGCGUUGUCCGGAAUUAUUGGGCGUAAAGAGCUCGUAGGCGGCUUGUCGCGUCGACUGUGAAAACCCGCGGCUUAACUGCGGGACUGCAGUCGAUACGGGCAGACUAGAGUGUGGUAGGGGAGACUGGAAUUCCUGGUGUAGCGGUGAAAUGCGCAGAUAUCAGGAGGAACACCGAUGGCGAAGGCAGGUCUCUGGGCCACUACUGACGCUGAGAAGCGAAAGCAUGGGGGAGCGAACAGG